RNAcentral lists this transfer RNA (74 nucleotides) under Alphaproteobacteria bacterium. RNAcentral describes it as "tRNA-Cys". It matches the Rfam family "tRNA". Rfam says of the family: Transfer RNA (tRNA) molecules are approximately 80 nucleotides in length. Their secondary structure includes four short double-helical elements and three loops (D, anti-codon, and T loops). Further hydrogen bonds mediate the characteristic L-shaped molecular structure. tRNAs have two regions of fundamental functional importance: the anti-codon, which is responsible for specific mRNA codon recognition, and the 3' end, to which the tRNAs corresponding amino acid is attached (by aminoacyl-tRNA synthetases). tRNAs cope with the degeneracy of the genetic code in two manners: having more than one tRNA (with a specific anti-codon) for a particular amino acid; and 'wobble' base-pairing, i.e. permitting non-standard base-pairing at the 3rd anti-codon position. Lineage: Bacteria; Pseudomonadati; Pseudomonadota; Alphaproteobacteria. The record is from RNAcentral.
GGCGCGAUGGCAGAGCGGUGAUGCAACGGACUGCAAAUCCGUGUACCCCGGUUCGACUCCGGGUCGUGCCUCCA